Molecule: long non-coding RNA, 9930 nt
Filed under: Lathyrus oleraceus (garden pea)
Lineage: Eukaryota; Viridiplantae; Streptophyta; Magnoliopsida; Fabales; Fabaceae
Description: Pisum sativum (pea) long non-coding RNA (PSAT_LNC033202)
Source: RNAcentral
GUAUUUUUGUUGAUAAAUUGUUUUUUUACUUGUUUUUUAAUGUUAGUUAUUAUUUAGAUCGAGAAGAUGUUAAUGUUGUUGUUUUUUAUUUGUUGAUGUUAUUGUUGUUGUUGUCUAGUUGUUAUACUUAGAAAGUUUUGAAAUCUAUAUGUUUAGGGUUUAGUUGUUGUUAUUGAGUUUGAGUUUGAGAUAGAGACUAAGAUAAUGUUUUUUGUGAUUCUUUGUGCAACUCUCAUCUUGUUCCUCUGAACUUGUCAAGAGGACAUUACAGUGACAGAAAAUAAAGUUGAGUUUAUUAUAUCUAAUAUCGAUUGUUUGUUUCAUAAUCCCUCUUUGAACAUAUAAUCUAUUAAUUUUUUUUGAACUAAUAAUAUGAACAAUUAUGUUAUCUAAUAUGGAUUGCUUCCAUCAUUUAGUCCUAGCUGAACAUAUAACUUUUUAAAUUGGUUUACAAAAUCAUUAUAUAAACAAUUAUAUUUGAAAAAUAAAUUACACUAAUUAAUGUUUUUCGGGCAUUUUGUAACUCAUCAUUCAUCUCACGUUCUUUAAUUGUUAAAAUCUCUCAAAUGCUUAUAGUUUUUGUUCAAAUUUAUUUCAUUCAAGUUGGUUUUACCCGUCAGUUAUAUUUCCAAACCGAGGGGAUACGUUAUUUUUCCAUUUAAAAAUUCCUUAAAGGAUCUCUUUGGGGAUCGAACCCAUGAUCAUUUCCACUUUACCCCUCGGUCAGAAACCAAUGGGUAAAGUGGCCAUUUUUCAUGUCUCCCUUCGUUACCUCACAUGUGUAACCGAUGUGAAAUCUAUUUUGAGCCCGUGAUAAGAUGUGCUUUUUGUAGUAGUGUGUCUUAUUCUGAUUUUUUUCUUUUGUCCCUGUGUCUGAUGGCUCUAAAAUCAAAGUUCAAUGCCUUGGCCAGGCACACUCUCUUCCAAAUUUAUCUUUAGAUUUUGUGCUAUAUAUUCCUUAUUUUCUUUUUAAUCUAAUAUCUAUCAACAAACACACUCGUACUCUUGAUUUUUCAAUUAUUUUUAUGAUAAUUAUGUUUAUGUUUAGGAUCUACAUAUAGGACAUAUGAUUGGAGUAGAAAGUGAUAUGGAGGAUUAUAUCAUCUAUAUCCACCACCGACAUGUGCUUCCAUUGCUUCUCAAAGCAUUACACAUCAACAUUUGUGUAACACCCGAGGUCGAAGAGGGUAGGGAGUGGUUGUAACACUCAAGGCCAAAUAGGGCAGGGAAUGGUCACCGAAAUUCACAUCAGAAUGAGAGGAUCCCGAGGUUGUGCAGGUAUGUGAUUGCAUGGUUAAAGGAAGACUUAUAAGGAUUGAUUGGUACACCUAUACCAAUAAUAUGCAUAUUUUUUUAUAGUCUAACAAAUAAAACCUCUAUAGUUAAGUGUGCUUGACUUGGAGUAGUAUUUGGAUGGGUGCCCUUUCGGGAAACUUCUUAGAAAAUGUGUGAGUGAGGCUAAAGCAUGAUGAAAAGACUCGUGUUGAUUUGUGAGGUCAGUCGAUAAUCCUGAAAGUAGUAUGAGACGUCACAAAUGGUAUCAGAGUAAACUUAUUCCAAUAUAGUAUGGUUCAGGGAUGAACCAAGCGAAAGCUGGUAAUGAUGUAACACUUUAAGCUGGAGAGGAUGUGGAGUGGUUGUAACACCCGAGGUCGAAGAUGGAGGGAGUGGUCGCUCGAAUUUAUAUCAGAAUAAGAGGAUCCCGAGGUUGUGCAGGUAUGAGACUAAAUGGUUAAGGAAAGACUUAUAAGGAUUGAUUGGUACUACCUAUACCAACAAGAUGCAUCUUCUUUUCAGUAGCCUAACAAAUAAGAACUUCAUAGUUAAGCGUGCUUGAUUUGGAGUAGUGUUUGGAUGAGUGACAUUCUGGGAAGUUUCCCAGAAAGCGUGUGAGUGAGGACAAAACAUGCUGAAAAGACUCGUGUUGAUUAGUGGAGUCAGUCGGUAAUCCUUAAAGAAGUUUGGAACGUUAUAGUUUAGGUCACCCUAGCUUUAAUAAAAUGCAUCUUUUAGUUACUAAUUUUUCUAACUUUCGUCAUUUGACUAUCAAUCGUGUCAAUUAGGAAAAUAUACUCGUCAUGCCUAUUGUCAACAAGUAAAUAAAAUUGCUAUGUCACCUUUCUCUUUAGUUCAUUUUCAUAUUUACAGUCCUAGUCGUGUCAGGUCAACUUUAGGAUAUUAUUACUUUGUAACUUUCUUAGAUGUUUUUUCACGACGUACUUGGUUAUUUUUAAUUAAAAUUCAUUCAAAGGUUUUUCCAUAUAUUCAAAGAAUUUUAUUCCAAAACUAAAAACCAGUUUGACAUUUCCAUUAAACUUUUACGCAUUCAAAAUGAUCGUGAGUAUAUGUCAUCCGAUUUUCAAUAUUUUUUAACAUCACAAAAUAUUAUUCACCAAUCAUCUUGUGCGUACACACCAUAAAUAAUUGGUGUUGCUGAACGAGAGAAUCGUCAUUUAGUUGAAACUGUAUGAACUCUUUUUAUUCAGCACAAUGUCCCUUCUCGUUUUUGGGGGAGAUGCUCUUCUCAAGGCUUGUCAUCUUAUCAAUCAAGUUUUCUCAUUGGUUCUUCAAGAUCAUAUUCAAUUCUCUAUCUUGAAUCCGCAACAGAAUCUCUACUCCAUUCCUCUUUGUGUAUUUGGUUGCAUAUGUUUUCUUCAUGACCUUAGUAAAGGUAAAGACUAACUUUCUGUCAAAUAUCUCAAAUGUAUUUUUCUAGGCUAUUCCUAUAUACAAAAGGAUAUCGUUAUUUUCCCCCCAACUUCAACGAUACAUUAUUUCCUCCGAUGUCACAUUCUUUGAAACUUUCCCAUUUUUACCUGCCUAUGAGUCACCUGAUGAGAAUUGUACUUCAAAUGUUCUAGAUAUCUCUUAUGUCAUCUCCACACCUAGUGCAUCCCCUACACCUCUAUUAUGUGUCUACCAGCAAAAAACACACCCUCUAUCGAAAGAAAGAGAUAAUAUUGAUCCACUACUAACACCAUCUCUUUUUCUAACUGCUCCUAAAGUUAUGUCACCUGAACUUGACAUUACAAUAGCAUUAUGAAAAUGUAUUCGGUCUCAUCAUCCUAAUCCUAAAUAUACUUGUGUUUUAAAUUAUGAUUGUCUCUCUACUUCCUAUGUUUCUUUUGCUUCUGCUUUGGAUUUAGUGUAUAUUCCUAAGUCCAUAAAUUAAGUUAUGAUUGAUCCUAAUUGACGUCAGAAGAUGGUGGAAGAAAUGGUUGUUUUGCAUUCAAAUAACACUUGAGACAUUGUCUUUUUACCUCUAUACAAAAUUGUAGUGGGAUGUCGAUGGGUUUAUACAGUGAAAGUUGGACCAUAUGAAGUAAAAAGGCCCGGGAAGAUAUCGACAUCUUGUGGAUAGACUCAAUUAUCUUAUCAUCACCAAACCGAGUAUUACAUUUGCAGUGAACAUUGUGAUUCAAUUUCUGAAAGCUCCUUGUGAUAGUCAUUAGAAUGCAAUUAUUCAGUUUCUUAGAUAUAUGAAGAAUGCACCAGGAAGAUGACUAUUAUAUGAAGAUAAGGGUGAUGCUAAAAUCACUUGUUAUUCAAAUGCAGACUGUAUCAAAUCACCAUCAGAUAGAAGAUUCACUUAUGGAUAUUUUGUUCUUAUUAGAGGAAAUAUGAUCUCAUGGAGAAGUAAGAAACAAAACACAUAUGCACUUUCUAGUGCUGAAGCUUGAUAUCGUGUUAUGACAACAGCCUCAAAGGAGCUCGCAUGACUUAAAAAUUUACUCUUAGAGCUCAGAUUGGGAGAUCUUCAGGCCACAAAACUUAUAUGUGAUAAUCAAGCGACACUCCACAUUGCAUCUAAUCCGAUUUUCUAUGAACGAAAUAAACACAUAUAAAUAGAUUGUCAUUAUGUAAGAGACAAGGUACUUUCAGGUAACCACAAAUUUGGUCAAGUCGGAAUACCAAUUGUCUGAUACGUUCACUAAGUCUCUCAAGAGUUUUUGAGUGGAUUACAUUUGUAACAAGUUUGCCUCAUAUGACAUAUAUGACCCAACUUAAGGGGGGAGUGUUAAGAAUCGAUCAUCAUCAAUGUGUAUCAAUUAAAAUUAACUGUAUUGAUUGUAUUAUUUUAUUGUCUACAACUCAUAAGGAAUAUAAAUUUACCCUAUUAUGAUCUCAUUAGACACACAAUAUUAUACAAAAAAAUACUCUUUCAAUAAACUUUUUAGUCACAUCAAAACUUUUGAAUUUUCUCUUCUCUCUUUUCUACACUUUGACUUUUCAUAAUAUCUUCUCAUUUUUCUGUAUGUCGAGUUUUCUAUGAAUACUAAAAAAUUCUCUUCAAAAAGAUACGGAUGAUAUUCAUAUCAUAUUAAAGACGUAAUUUUAUAGUCGGUCUUAAAGCGUGGAAGCAUACCAAUAAAGUUUAACUGAGUUGUUUUAUACUUAAAACUUUGUGUGAUAGUAUAUUUAUAUAAUUUUAGACAGUGUUGUAAAAUAUCUUAAGAAAAAGGCUCUAGUAUGAGACUCUUGGUAAUUUUUUUUUUGUUAACAAUAUGUUUAAAAUUAUUUUAUUACUAAAAUAGUAGAAAACGACUAAAGUUUUUAUUUUAUAUUUUCACUUUCAAUUCAUGAAUUUAUGUUGUAAGUAUGAUGAUUGUUCUAAUUUCAUUGUUCUUCAAUUGGUUCAGCUUAACUUAAUUUAUUUGGCAUUAGUAGUAGCAUUUGAACUAGAAAUAAAGAAGAUUUGUAGUGAUGACUUUAUGAUGCAACCAACUUUCUUUUUUGAGUGUUACAUGCUGAUAUAACGUGCUCAGAACAUUAUAUAUGCAUGAUCCUUAUUCUUUAGAAACUAAGAAUUUAAGAAUGCUAUAGCCAAACUUUGACACUUUUUGGCUAACUUUGGAACAUGGGAGAAGGCAUGGGAUACCAUUCUUUUUUGUUCCAUUUACAUUGCAUCUACCUAUAGAAUCAAAGCUUUUGCUUUUGUUAUUACGUGUUCACAUAUACGUAUCAUAUUUGUUGCAUAUAUUCUUGGACCUACAUUGCAUUAGAAGUCAAUAUAGUUUAGCUUUUUCUCAAUUUUAUGCACAUGAAAAUGAUAUAACUAAUUGACAAUUUAAAUGUUGUAUUUUGUGACACAGCAUGUGAGUACUCUUCUAACUUUGGCAAUCAGCAUGUGAAUAAUAUAAACAAGAAAUGCACAUUACAAUAUUUAAUGUUAUUUGUCAUGUGGGAUCACACUUAGUUUUCUUAGUAUUAAUAAUUGUGACAGUGGAAGCUAUAAACUAGAUUCUGUGCUUAGUAUUCUACCAGCCCACGACAGCCUCACAACAAUGUAGUGUCUGUAAAUAAGUUUUGACUAGUAAACCACCAAAAUGAUAUGGUCUCAAUUUGAUCAUUACAAUAUAAAUAUUUUAAUUUAGUAUUCUAUAAAAUGUUUGUUGAAUUGUUUGUUAUUUUCCUAUUAUAAAAUGUUUGUUGAAUUGUUUGUUAUUUUCCUAUUAUAAAAUGUUUGUUAAAUUGUCUAUGUGUGUUCCUAUUUACGGUAAAUUGUAUCACUCUCAACAAAUAAGUUUGAUGAUUAAUCUAAAAUUUUAGUUAAGUUAUUUGGAGAUUUUGAUUGGUAUAAUCAAGGGGAAUUAGAAGUUUUUAGAAUCUCAAUUGAAUUAAUUCAAAUUUAUAAAAUUAGCUUUUAAGAUGAGGAUUUAUCCUCAAUUAUAAAUAUAUUUUCAUUCCACAUAUUGUCAUAUAUAUGUGGUGAGACUAUUAACGGAGCUCUUCGCGUCUAUCAAUAUUAGAUGAGAUACAUAGAUAUAAAUGGCGGAUGUCCUAAAAGUGGAAAGUUGAUAACAAGUGACUUAAUUGAUCUUGAAGUAUUUUAAUUAUGUAGAAAAAUAUUUUAAUAUAUUUUAAAGUUGUAAUUUACAAUACUAGAAUUAAUUUGUUUAAAUAGAGAUGAAUCUCAAUCUAAUGGACUUACUUAACGAGCCUCAUACAAAUAAAAUAAAGUAACUAUAAAUAUUACUAUUUUUAGUCUAAUAUUUAUAACAUUUCUCUUAAAGUUGGUGAAUGAAUAUUAAUCGUUUAAAACUUUCAAGUAAGUUGGUUGAAUCAUUAUGUUGGCAAACCAUUUAUUAAUACAUUUGUCAUUGGAUGCCUAUAAGGCAUGUAGAUGAUAAUUAUCAAUCCAUUAUCCAACUUUUUUGAUGAAAUAUCAGUAUCGCGUCGCAAAAAUUACAGAGUCACCAUCGAAUUUUAUUUAUGCCAGAGAAAAGGGAAAAUAGCAACAAAACCCCAAAGAGAAUGAUCUUCACAACCAAGAGCGGAUUCAGAAGUCGGUUAUGCAAGGGGAAGGUAUUAACACCCCUCACAUCCAUCGUACUCGAUGUGAACCACUAUGCUUGUAUCAAUGCGUAUGGAUGUUGUUUAUCUGAAUGUUACUUUCUAUCGGUUAAAGAGGUGAAUGAGAAAAGAAAAUAAGUUUUAAAUUAGUGUGCUCACCAAGGUUUCGAACCCUUGUGCCUACAUAUCCUCAUUCGUGUAAUAAGGAAGUUAGGGCUCCGUAGUUCCGAUCACAAAACAAAGUUAUUGUUUGAUUAUUUUUAAUGAAUAAUAUUUACAUUCACGUUCUACAAUCAACUUAUUUGUAUGCUCGAGCAUGUGAGCUUUAAGUGUUUGUUUGUUUGCGGUAGAAUGGAUGCGCUUAGAUCGCACUCUAGCAAUUAAACAUUACUUGUAUACUCACACAUGAAGGCUUAAGCUUCGCUCACGGUAGAACGGAAGUAACAUGCCCUUCCUGAAAAGGAAGAUUUGCAAGGUGCCCCAAGGCAAAAAAAAUUGAUUUGAUUGGUUAGGGGUUGAUUUUAGACUUUGAGACAAACAUCCAACCCUUGGCUAAGUACGUCCAACAAUCUGAAUAGUUGGGAGUUGAGAUAACAGUUGCAUCCUAAUCACUCUUUUCAAUCCAAAAGGAAUUUUUAUUGUGAAAUGAUUUGGCAAGUCCAAUCCUUGGUAAUUAGAGGGAGACAAGUAUCUAACCCUUGGCUAAGUAUAUCCAACAAUCAGAACACCCCGAAGUUGAUAGGACAGUGACAUCCUAACCACUUUUUUUCUCUCUCAGAGCACCAGAUUGAACUCGUUUUAUUGUUAGGUGUUUUGAAUGAAAGUCAAGCAUCAGGCCAAGAGCUAGGUACAAUCGACAACCCAAGUACUUGAAUGUUGUGUACAAAUACAUACACCCCACUUUUACUUUCCAGUUUAUUGAGAAAAGAUUUUGAAAAUGCACUUGACAUUGGAUCAAGUGUUUGGAAUUUAUUGUGAAAAAGUGUGUGUGAAUAAUGAAGAUAGAGAUAUAGAUAGGGUUGAGAAGUAGAAGUGGUAUGAGAGAAUGGAUAAUGAUGAAAAGGUACUUAUUGUUGGAUCAAACACUCUUGUUGCUUUGAAGUGAGUUUAAUUUGGAAAACAUUUGACGUUGGAUCAAGUGUGCUUUUCCUCUUUUGAAAAUUAUCUUUUUAUCGUUUGGGUUUAUCUUUUAAGUUAGCAUGCAUAGAAAACGAUAAAAAAUAUAAACCCUAAGCUAUUACACUUGCAUGGGAUGGGGGUACAUGUGACCCACAAUGGGGGAAUGAUACCAAACAAUACAAAAGGUAAGAAUGAAAACCAUAUAAGUUACAACCCAAGCACCAUGCCUAAAAAAAUCAAGUGGCACGGUGUCCUUAAUCAAUACAAGGCAAAUGAUGAUUAAUGAUCAUAAUAGGAAAGUCUCUUGGAUUGAACUUGAAGUCUCAAUGGUCAUGGUAAUCACACAAGCAAAUGAAUUAGUAUGGAUGAAAACAAAUGAGAACAAUGCAUCAAAUGUAAACAUGUUCAAUGGCAAUCAUCAAUUCACAUGGGAAUGGAUCAAUAUGGACAAUUAAUCAUAAAUGAACCACAUGAUCAAGGUGAACGAAAAUGACCUAUACAUGGCACAUAUCCAUUAAAUUGAAGCUUAAGAUAUUCAAAAAAUUAAUGGGCGAUUAAAUAGAAUUAACCAUAUGUCAAAAAUCAAUGGGUAAUUAAAUAGAAUUAACCAUAUGUCAAAAAUCAAUCUAACAUGAAUUAUGGAUCAAAUUGACAAGUUGAAAUCAACAUGUAUUAACUCAAAUCACAUGAACAUGAAAAUUAGAUAAAUCAUAUAGAAAUACCACAGCCAACGAUUAUAAUAAUCAGCCAAGAAAUAAAAUGUUCAAUUAAAAAUGAAUUAAAAUUCUACAAAAGUUUCUAAGUGAAAUUAACAAGUAAAUGCCAAAUAUAUCACAUUUUUUCAUGGUAGCAAAUAUCAAGAUUUAUAGUGAAAUGUGGUGACAAAAUAGUACAAAAUAAUCAAGAGAAACAUGCAAAAAAAAAACAAGAAAAAAGUAUUUUAAAAAAGCACAAAAAAGAGGGGCCAACAAUCCAAAACAGGAUGCAAAUAAGGUUCUGGCGCACCUGGGCCCAAAAGGAUGGCCCAUACCAAUUCUACAUGCAAGCAGAGGUACACUAGAAAAAACAAUAUAAUGUUAGUAGAUUUUGGCCUAAGCCCAACACACCAAGGCCACACGGAAUUUCAUCAUAUGCAUUGGAAAUGGAUAAGGCUGAACAUUGACACGACAAUGAGUUAGCGCUGAGGUGGAUAAGUAACUCAAAUCACUUAAUACCAAUUAACGCACGUGCAACAUGUUGAAAAGAGAAACUCAGAACAAAUAACACAAAUGCGGAUCUCUCUUCUAUCUCAUUUCAUUUUCUGCUUCUAUUUCUCCCUCCGCCAUUCCGGAGGCUAUCCUCGUCGGCAUAAGCACUCCAAUUAACAAACUAAAGACAACAUCUAACCUAUUUUGACGCCCUAUAUCCGAAUCUACCACUAAAAUUCCCUAAUUCCUCGAUAACUUCUCAAAUCAAAACAAAAUCUUGAUGAACCUUAACAUGAAAAAAUGGAAUUAAAUCGCAUCGGAGGGAAAUCGAUCCACCCCACAUUGGGGCUUUGAUUCCCCUCGUGAAGAACUACAUUCCUGUAACUAAAUUUUGAAAAAACAAAGAAGGUGAUUGAAGGCUCACUAGAGCACACAUCGGCGUCAGGUACGACUUUCUUGAACUCUUUCUUUGCAUUUCAAAUCGUCUUCUUCUUCUCCUGUUGAUUGUGUUGUUAUUCUUGUGUGUGCAUUGUGAGUUAUGAAUCAGCGUGUGUGGUUGUUGAUUUGCGAGAGAAGUGAGAGGUGAUGAAUUCUUGUGAGAGUUUCGAAACUGAGAGUUGAAGAUGAAUUCGAAGGUGAUGCAAAAAUCUGGAAAAUAAGUUGAAGGAGAAUUCAAAGGUGAUGCCAAAAAUAUGGAAAAUGAGUUCCCAAUUGAAAAAUGGUGAUUGUUCUAUUUAUAUAGUUUCUGAUUUCUAUUAUGUUCUUCUCAAAUUAUGUUAUAGUUUUUAUUCAUUUUGUUAGAAGCUUGCGAAGUUUGUUACAAGCCGGUUAGGUUAGUUUGUUGAAAGGUGAAAGUUAGUUACAAAGAGUUAGUUAGGAUAAGUUAGUUGGAAGAAGGUUUAGGUUGUGUGAAGUUAAAUAGGUUCUAAGUUUCUUGAUUGUAGUCAGAAGUGAAAUGAAAAUUUUGCGAAUGUUUUCUGUUUAGACUUUUGAACUGAGUUUUUGUGGUGAUGCAGGGUUGUGGUUUCAAUGGCUAAGGCAAGGUUGACUUGAGAUGUUAUCAUGGUUCUUAGUUAUGAUGGAUCAUGUCAUAGUUUUUCUUUGGUCAUGAAAUUGGAUAUGGAUUUAUGAGCUUUGGAUCAUUAGACUAGUUUUGAUCAUGUUGGAUACUGUUGUAAUGGUUUAUAUUGUGAAUUUGAAAUUAUGUAUGGUUAUGUAAAAGGUAUUUGGAAAUUGAAUAAAUGGAAUUUUGUAUAUGUAUGGAAUUAUUAUUGUAUGAGAUAUGAAUAUUAAUGGUUAAAUAUAAUUUGUGUUAUAAUGUGAUGGAUUA